Prunus avium (sweet cherry) is the source of this 815-nucleotide non-coding RNA. The record is from RefSeq and is a predicted model, not a curated record. NCBI's taxonomy places the organism in Eukaryota, Viridiplantae, Streptophyta, Magnoliopsida, Rosales, Rosaceae.
UGCUCGACGUCUUUCACUCACAACCAUCUUUUUGUGAGAAUGUGAAGGUAAAAAGUCUUUGCUUCGUGGUAUCAGAACCUAACAAGGGCUUCUAACAAGUUGGUGAGUGGCUCUUCUUCUUCGACAACCAUCUCCAGAUCCUCUUUGAUCUUCUUCGUCUCCAGCCGUCUCCAGCCGUUUCAAGCCAUCUCCAGACGUCAUCAACAUCGAAUCAGGGCUGAAAACUAUCGAUGAGCUCCUAUGCAUCUUGGGAAUUUUACAGAUAGAAUGAAAGCCAUGAAAGUGCUCCUAUCUGAGUCCGAUCCAUUAACAGUUGAACUUUUUCUUUCUUUAGAUCAUGUUGGUGACGAAUGAGUUACAUAAUUAAGUUAGUUGAACUUUGGUACCUUCUGUUGUUUUAGUUGAAUAUUUAAGCCAGUGGACUUAUUGCUUUGUUAAACCAGAGCAAACACUACAGCUACUCAAUCCUAGCUUGGCUCUCAAUCCAUCUCUGCUCCAAUCAGAGGGGGAAUCCGAUGACGGGUUGGUUAAGAAUGAGAACGGCAACCAGGAUGUGAGGCAAGUUGACGAUCAAGAUAAGCAACAAGAACUAUUAGACAGAGAGCUUGAAGUAAUAGACAAAGCAUACAGUUGUGGGGUUGUUCACUUAAUUGGGGAAACUGAAGUGGCAGCUGAGAAAUGAGCUGGUAUAGUUAAAGAAUGUGAUUGAGAUUGACUAUGCUUACAGUUUCUUGAAGAGUAAUUUGAGGUAGAGUGAGAAAGUGUUGGAUAUUCCUCACAAGCGCAUGUUGAAAGUGGGGAUGAUCUAUGAACUU